AUGCAGUCAAUUAAGUUGACCAGGUAGGUCCCAUUCCUCAUGGGAGCCUGGUGUGCAAUGGUUGCAAACAGCAGGCUCCUAAGAGUGAAUUCACCCUGUUGCCUUAUAUGGGUUGCGAUAAGGGACCUUGGAGACAAUU
Meriones unguiculatus (Mongolian gerbil) is the source of this 139-nucleotide small nucleolar RNA. Its record names the gene SNORA70. It matches the Rfam family "Small nucleolar RNA SNORA70". From Rfam's summary of the family: snoRNA U70 seems to be exclusive to mammals and is a member of the H/ACA class of snoRNA which contain H (ANANNA) and ACA box motifs. The record is from Ensembl. Lineage: Eukaryota; Metazoa; Chordata; Mammalia; Rodentia; Muridae.